UCUGGGAGAGAUGCCGCCUGAGCCGGCCUAUGGCUCCAAACUCAUCGCUGGAAGAUCACAGCUGCCCUCUCCCCGGCCACUCUCUUUUCAUGAGGAAAGGUCAUGGUGUAGAAAAUAAUUCUAGAUCAAGUUAGAAUAUGUUCCGACCUCAGCAAGCAACCACGUACUUUGAUUAUGUAGCACCCUUCAUUAUUCUAAGGAGUUCUCAUUAUACAGGUGGGUUGAAGACACACUGUGUGUCAAAAGAACCAAAACCAAAACAAAAUCCUAUAAAAUAGCAGGUCUUAUAGUUUCCUUCUUUUUCCCAUAGGAAGGAAGGGGAAA
RNAcentral lists this long non-coding RNA (324 nucleotides) under Homo sapiens (human). Its description in RNAcentral is "non-protein coding lnc-GLIPR1-2:1". The record is from RNAcentral. Lineage: Eukaryota; Metazoa; Chordata; Mammalia; Primates; Hominidae.